This 537-nucleotide ribosomal RNA is filed under the name uncultured Acidobacteriota bacterium. RNAcentral describes it as "bacterial SSU rRNA". It matches the Rfam family "Bacterial small subunit ribosomal RNA", at positions 8 to 524 of the family's 1533-position model. The record is from RNAcentral. Lineage: Bacteria; Pseudomonadati; Acidobacteriota.
AGAGUUUGAUCUUGGCUCAGAAUCAACGCUGGCGGCGUGCCUAACACAUGCAAGUCGAACGCGAAAGCCCCGCAAGGGGUAAGUAGAGUGGCAAACGGGUGAGUAACACGUGGGUGACCUGCCUCAGAGUGGGGGAUAACGACCCGAAAGGGUCGCUAAUACCGCAUAACAUCCUGCUUUUGGAUAAGUGGAGAUCAAAGCCGGGGAUCGCAAGACCUGGCGCUCAGAGAGGGGCCCGCGGCCGAUUAGCUAGUUGGUGAGGUAACGGCUCACCAAGGCAACGAUCGGUAUCCGGCCUGAGAGGGCGGACGGACACACUGGGACUGAGACACGGCCCAGACUCCUACGGGAGGCAGCAGUGGGGAAUUGUUCGCAAUGGGCGCAAGCCUGACGACGCAACGCCGCGUGGAGGACGAAGAUCUUCGGGUCGUAAACUCCUUUCGAUCGGGAAGAACGUUUUCGGGAUGAAUAAUCCCGGGAAGUGACGGUACCGAGAGAAGAAGCCCCGGCUAACUCCGUGCCAGCCGCCGCCGUAAU